Long non-coding RNA from Ailuropoda melanoleuca (giant panda), 470 nucleotides. RefSeq lists it as uncharacterized. The record is from RefSeq and is a predicted model, not a curated record. The transcript has 3 exons. NCBI's taxonomy places the organism in Eukaryota, Metazoa, Chordata, Mammalia, Carnivora, Ursidae.
GCCUUCCUCUUCCUUGUGAAGCUUCCCCAUUUGGGGAAAUGCCACCUCGCACCUGGUCCUUGCUAGGGAAGGGGGUAAACCCACCGCAUCCCAAGAGACGAGAGACGCAUGGCUGAUGACGGUCUGCUGUUUGUCCGAGGGGAAAUAAAGGGAAGCGGAGCUCGCUGCGGCUGCCCUGCUGCAGCCCGAACCCCGCACGCGGUGUCUGCGCGCCCUCAGCCAGAGAAGAUGUUUCCAUGCGAAGGCCAGCAGGUCACACUCAGCUGUGGGGCUGUCUGUCUCCUGAUGGACCCUGUUGCUCCUGGCGAGUGCCUGGCUCUCUUCAAAUUGAACACUGUGAAAGCAAAGAAGUGAACUAGCAUUCAUCAGCAACGACAUAAUAAGAAUUGAUUCAGUCAACGUCUGGGAUGACGGAAAAAGUUCACUUAGGUGAACACGACCCCACUCUCUUAUUACUGAGCAGAGAAACG